RNAcentral lists this ribosomal RNA (510 nucleotides) under uncultured bacterium. RNAcentral describes it as "partial 16S ribosomal RNA". It matches the Rfam family "Bacterial small subunit ribosomal RNA", at positions 30 to 523 of the family's 1533-position model. The record is from RNAcentral.
AUUGAACGCUGGCGGCAUGCCUAACACAUGCAAGUCGAACGGCAGCACAGUGUGUAGCAAUACACAUGGGUGGCGAGUGGCGGACGGGUGAGUAAUGCGUAGGAAUCUACCUUCAAGUGGGGGAUAGCCCGGAGAAAUCCGGAUUAAUACCGCAUGUUCUCUACGGAGAAAAGCGGGCCUCUGUUUACAAGCUCGCGCUUGAAGAUGAGCCUACGUCGGAUUAGCUAGUUGGUAGGGUAAAGGCCUACCAAGGCGACGAUCCGUAGCUGGUUUGAGAGGAUGAUCAGCCACACUGGGACCGAGACACGGCCCAGACUCCUACGGGAGGCAGCAGUGGGGAAUAUUGGACAAUGGGCGAAAGCCUGAUCCAGCAAUGCCGCGUGUGUGAAGAAGGCCUGCGGGUUGUAAAGCACUUUUAUCGGGAAAGAAAAGCUUGGGGCUAGUAUCUCCAAGCCUUGACGGUACCCGUUGAAUAAGCACCGGCUAACUCCGUGCCAGCCGCCGCAGUAA